Molecule: ribosomal RNA, 253 nt
Filed under: uncultured bacterium
Lineage: Bacteria
Description: partial 16S ribosomal RNA
Rfam family: Bacterial small subunit ribosomal RNA
Source: RNAcentral
UACGUAGGGGGCAAGCGUUGUCCGGAUUUAUUGGGCGUAAAGAGCGUGUAGGCGGCCAGGUAGGUCCGCUGUGAAAACUCGAGGCUCAACCUCGAGAUGUCGGCGGAAACCAUCUGGCUAGAGUCCGGAAGAGGAGAGUGGAAUUCCUGGUGUAGCGGUAAAAUGCGCAGAUAUCAGGAAGAACACCCGUGGCGAAGGCGGCUCUCUGGGACGGUACUGACGCUGAGACGCGAAAGCGUGGGGAGCGAACAGG